UGAAUAGUUGCUCUGUUAUAGUUCUUUGCAAGUACCUAGAUUCCAAUGGUAGACUCUCUCGAGUUUUGGACAUUACUGUUUUAAUUUGAAGGAUUACUCUAAACCUGCAACUUGUGGAGGCAUAAGUUUGAGCUAAGUCUAGGUAGUUGGUUGAUAUGAUCAUUAAAAGUCUGAGCUGCUAUUUAUCUUAUUCGUAGCAUUAUUAAGUUCUAGAGAUUUAUUUUCAAAAUUUAAAAUUGACAUGAUGAGCUAUUGCAUGACAAGUUUGAAUUCCUACCAAAGCCAUAUAUAAUAUACAUUUAGAGUUAGGAAAACUUUUCCACAUUUAUGCUGCUUGCUUUGCAUUGAGUUCAGUCAACCUUUGUAGUGUACCUUACGAGAGUCUUGUCAGUUUUUAACCAAGAUCACGUACACACUUCAGUUCGCAUAUGCAUUAUUCCUACAUUGUGAGUAAACACCAACAUAAACUGGACCCAUAGGUUAAAGCCAGUCAUAAAGGCCAGCCAGUCAUAAAGGCCCUAAGUUCUUAUUAUUACCUCUCUGAUCAUUUAUUGUAUUCAAAGGAUACAUGUGGCUAUGCAAAAAUAUAAAAGAAAAAAAAGGGAGUAAAAGAUGGACAAGUGUCCCAGUAGUUAAAACAAUGGGUACUAGAUGCCCGCCUCUCGGAAUAAAAAAAAUAAAUAAAAAAAUAAAGAUAGCCCAUGUCUUUCCUAAAAAGUUUCAAUAGAUAGUUAUUCCCAGAGAAAUAGAAAUUGGCCACAAAUAACACAAAUGCACCCAUUCACCAUAUUCCAUACACAUGCACAUCAUGAUUUGAUUGUAUGCCUCAAUUCUCUAUGGAUCCAUUAGUUGAUUUUACAAUACAUGCAUUGCAAGUAUGCCUAUCCUUGUUAUUGGCACUCCUAUAAGCUCUACCAUAUAUACCUUUAGCUAUAGGAGGCAUAGCAUCAUUAAUGCCUUAAGAGAGAACCAUAAAUACCACAUACAUUGAGAGACUUGAGAGUGUCAUACAAUUAAGCUCUGAGUUUUAUUCUAAAAACUUAUAAAAACUCCGGAAUAAUGGUUCUGCAAAGAAUUUGAGACAUAGUGCUUGACCUGAUUGCUCUAUCUUCUUGUUACUCAAGACUCAUGCAAAGAACUAUAAAGCCCCAUGGUUAAAGGUAAAACAGGUAAGUUUGAAGUUUAGAGCAGUUAUUAACUAAUCAGGAGGAGAAUCUUUGUUUGGGAGCAUGUGUACUUGGAAAGACUAAAAACAUUGUAGCAACUCUUGAUCCAAAUACAUAUACUGCUUAGGCUUGGUUUGCCAAGGGACUGGCAAAAGGUAAGCUUGGGGGAAUUGUUGAUGGUCGAUAACGUCAACUUUUAUUAGAAAUGUGAACCCAAAGGAGAACAUGAAAACACACUAACUGACAAUUUCCACGAGUUUUGCAUAUUCUGUAUUUUCAAGAAAAGCUGAAAACAGGGAUUCAAGUGCAUAUUUACCACGAAACUUAUCCGCCACUAAAAAGAUCACGAUCAGGACGUGGGGGACUCUGGAAGAUGCUGGAUGAAACCGAGGGCCAGAGGCCGCCAGGUGGGGCCGGCCGGCACCACCAUGGUGCUGGCCGGCGCCCCCCAGUUAGGGUUUCGGCCCCCCUUCUGGAAGCUUCCUCCACCACCUCCGAAGAGUCAUAUUGGCCCUUGGUUAAGUCGGUUUGAUCCUACGGUGCACAUCAAUCCCACCAGGUUAUAAACAAAGGGGAAGACCCCCCCUCCCUGAAGGCAUCAAGUCAUUUGGAGAUCCAUUCAUUAAGAGCCUUCUCUAGUUCAUCAGAGCCUCUCUAGUUCAUAGUUUUAGCCUAGUUAGAUUAGUAGUAUAAGAGUUCUAGUCUUUAGUGGGAUCCGAAGCCCCUAGCGUCUGUCUAGAGCACAAAGUUCGGUAUAGUUCUAGUUCUUUUAUCUUAUUGUAUUCAAUAUUAUGAUUCAGGCAACAUUUUUCUUAAUCACUUAUAUGUUCUUAAUUGCAAUAGUCAUUGUCUACUCUAAUUAUAUGUCUAGGAUAGUUGGUUUGAUCUUAUUGAAUUCAUAUAAUUGCUCGUAUAGCGUUUACCCAAUCCAUUGGUGGGU
This 2106-nucleotide long non-coding RNA is filed under the name Sorghum bicolor (sorghum). RNAcentral describes it as "long non-coding RNA (SBIC_LNC012291)". The record is from RNAcentral. Lineage: Eukaryota; Viridiplantae; Streptophyta; Magnoliopsida; Poales; Poaceae.